Molecule: signal recognition particle RNA, 278 nt
Filed under: Phascolarctos cinereus (koala)
Lineage: Eukaryota; Metazoa; Chordata; Mammalia; Diprotodontia; Phascolarctidae
Description: Metazoan signal recognition particle RNA (ENSPCIG00000019124.2)
Rfam family: Metazoan signal recognition particle RNA
About the family: The signal recognition particle (SRP) is a universally conserved ribonucleoprotein.
Source: RNAcentral
GCCAGACAUGGUGGCGCACAUUUGUAAUCCCAGGUACCUAGGAGACUGAGGCUGGGUGAUCUGAGCUCAGGAGUUCUGAGCUGCAGUAAACUAAGCAGAUUGGGUGCCUAUACUAAGUUCAGUAUUAAAAUGGUGACCCCUUUGCCUAAGGAGGGGAACACCAACCCAGACUGAAAAAGAGGAGGUCAAAGCUCCCAUGCUGAUCAGUAGUGGGAUUGGGUCCUUGAGUAGCUAGCCCCAGCACUUACCACCUGGAUGAGACAGGGAGACCAAAUCUG